This 501-nucleotide ribosomal RNA is filed under the name uncultured bacterium. RNAcentral describes it as "bacterial SSU rRNA". It matches the Rfam family "Bacterial small subunit ribosomal RNA", at positions 28 to 509 of the family's 1533-position model. The record is from RNAcentral.
GAUGAACGCUGGCGGCGUGCCUAAUACAUGCAAGUCGAGCGAAUGGAUUGAGAGCUUGCUCUCAAGAAGUUAGCGGCGGACGGGUGAGUAACACGUGGGUAACCUGCCCAUAAGACUGGGAUAACUCCGGGAAACCGGGGCUAAUACCGGAUAAUAUUUUGAACUGCAUGGUUCGAAAUUGAAAGGCGGCUUCGGCUGUCACUUAUGGAUGGACCCGCGUCGCAUUAGCUAGUUGGUGAGGUAACGGCUCACCAAGGCAACGAUGCGUAGCCGACCUGAGAGGGUGAUCGGCCACACUGGGACUGAGACACGGCCCAGACUCCUACGGGAGGCAGCAGUAGGGAAUCUUCCGCAAUGGACGAAAGUCUGACGGAGCAACGCCGCGUGAGUGAUGAAGGCUUUCGGGUCGUAAAACUCUGUUGUUAGGGAAGAACAAGUGCUAGUUGAAUAAGCUGGCACCUUGACGGUACCUAACCAGAAAGCCACGGCUAACUACGUGCC